AGAACGAACGCUGGCGGCAGGCCUCAAACAUGCAAGUCUAGGGGGGUGUAGCAAUACAUCACCGGCGGACGGGUGCGUAACGCGUGGGAAUAUACCUAUUGGUUCGGAACAACUGAGGGAAACUUCAGCUAAUACCGGAUGAGCCCUAACGGGGAAAGAUUUCUCGCCAAUAGAUUAGCCCGCGUCCGAUUAGCUAGUUGGUGGGGUAAAAGCCUACCAAGGCGACGAUCGGUAGCUGUUCUGAGAGGAAGAUCAGCCACACUGGGACUGAGACACGGCCCAGACUCCUACGGGAGGCAGCAGUUGGGAAUCUUGGACAAUGGGGGAAACCCUGAUCCAGCCAUGCCGCGUGAGUGAUGAAGGCCUUCGGGUUGUAAACUCUUUCGACGGGGACGAUAAUGACGGUACCCGUAGAAGAAGCUCCGGCUAACUUCGUGCCAGCAGCCGC
This 448-nucleotide ribosomal RNA is filed under the name uncultured bacterium. Its description in RNAcentral is "SSU rRNA". It matches the Rfam family "Bacterial small subunit ribosomal RNA", at positions 26 to 518 of the family's 1533-position model. The record is from RNAcentral.